Molecule: non-coding RNA, 30 nt
Filed under: Homo sapiens (human)
Lineage: Eukaryota; Metazoa; Chordata; Mammalia; Primates; Hominidae
Source: RNAcentral
UGGAAUGCCUAUGCUCAGAAGCCUACCAGU